Molecule: ribosomal RNA, 226 nt
Filed under: uncultured bacterium
Lineage: Bacteria
Description: partial 16S ribosomal RNA
Rfam family: Bacterial small subunit ribosomal RNA
Source: RNAcentral
GCGUUGUCCGGAUUUAUUGGGCGUAAAGAGUGUGCAGGCGGUUCGGUAAGUCUGUCGUGAAAUCCUGGGGCUCAACCCCGGGCUUGCGAUGGAUACUGCCGGGCUAGAGGAUGGUAGAGGCGAGUGGAAUUCCCGGUGUAGCGGUGAAAUGCGCAGAUAUCGGGAGGAACACCAGUAGCGAAGGCGGCUCGCUGGGCCAUUCCUGACGCUGAGACGCGAAAGCUAG